CCAAUAGCGUAUAUUAAAGUUGCUGCAGUUAAAAAGCUCGUAGUUGAAUUUCGGGACCAAUAUGUCGGUCGUGCUUCGGUACGUACUGUCAUAAUUGGUUUCUCCCUUCUGGAGAACCUUGAUGUCAUUAAUUUGGUGUCUUGGGGAAUCAGGACUGUUACUUUGAAAAAAUUAGAGUGUUUAAAGCAGGCUCGCGCUUGAAUACAUUAGCAUGGAAUAAUGAAAUAGGACGUUUGAUUCUAUUUUGUUGGUUUCUAGGAUCGACGUAAUGAUUAAUAGGGAUAGUUGGGGGCAUUAGUAUUCAAUUGUCAGGGUGAAAUUCUUGGAUUUAUUGAAGACUAACUACUGCGAAAGCAUUUGCCAAGGAUGUUUUCAUUAAUCAAGAACGAAAGUUAGGGGAUCGAAGACGAUCAGAUACCGUCGUAGUCUUAACCAUAAACUAUGCCGACUAGGGAUCGGAUGAUGUUAAUUUUUUUAAUGACUCAUUCGGCGCCUUUCGGCGCCUUACG
This 509-nucleotide ribosomal RNA is filed under the name uncultured Glomeromycotina. RNAcentral's name for it is "partial small subunit ribosomal RNA". It matches the Rfam family "Eukaryotic small subunit ribosomal RNA", at positions 591 to 1103 of the family's 1831-position model. The record is from RNAcentral. Lineage: Eukaryota; Fungi; Glomeromycota.